CUGCUACCAUGUUUUUUUUUUUUUAAAUUAGUCAUCCUUAUGAGCAGUAAUGGUAUUCCAUUAUGUUAGUUUUCACUUAGUUGACAACUAAUAAACCUCAGCAUUUUUCCCUUUUUUCUUGUCAUUUGCAUAUUAAGUUUGUGAAGUCCUCUGGGCAUGUAAUUGGAUAUCUCCUUUGAAUAAUUUGUGAUAAUCUUAGAACAAUUAUAAUUGUUGAUAUGAACUAUUUGUUAAUAUUGAGUUAAUUAUAGGUAUUAAUACUUGGUUAAUAUUUGUAAUGCAUAAAGGAGAAAAAAUAUUGGCAUUUGCAUGUAAACAGAUGGAGUUGGAGAAUAUCAUGCUAAGUGAGGUAAGCCAUUCCCCCCAAACCAAAGGCCAAAUGUUUUCUCUGGUAAGUGGAUGCUGACCCAUAAUGGGGGUGGGGGGAUCACGGGAGGAAUGGAGGAACUUUGGAUAGGAUAAAGGGGAAGAAAGGGAACAUUAGGGAGAGGGCAUAGGCAUAGGAAAGAUGGUGGAAUGACAUGGACAUCAUUACCCUAGGUACAUGUAUGAAGACAUGAAUGAUGUGACUGACUUUGUGAACAACCAGAGAAAUGAAAAAUUGUGCUCCAUAUGUGUACUAUGAAUUGAAAUGCAUUCUGCCAUCAUUUAUAAUAAAUUGGAACAAAAAUAUAUUCAAUAAUUAAAAUAUUUGUAAUGCAGAGAUUUUUUUCCUAU
This 717-nucleotide long non-coding RNA is filed under the name Marmota monax (woodchuck). Lineage: Eukaryota; Metazoa; Chordata; Mammalia; Rodentia; Sciuridae. The record is from RNAcentral.